AGCCUAAUGAUAAUAAAUAUUAGGUUAGCUCUGCCCAGUGAAGUUUUAACGGCCGCGGUAUUUUAACCGUGCAAAGGUAGCAUAAUAAUUUGCCCCUUAAUUGAGGGCUAGAAUGAAUGAGUAAACGAGAGUUACACUGUCUCAAAAAGAGUUAUAUAACCUAGCCUUUAAGUGAAGAGACUUAAAUUACCCUAAAAGACAAAAAGACCCUGUCGAGCUUUAAUAUUAUUAAUAUAAUCCAUUUUUAAUACUAAGAGUUAUUUUUGUUGGGGCGACAAGGGAGCAACUAAAACCUCCCGGAUAUUGAGACACCCCGUCAAAUAAAUGACCCUUAAUUAUGAUCACCGGCAUAGCUACCGCAGGGAUAACAGACUAAUUUUCUUUUCAAGCCCUUAUUAACAAGAAAGUUUGGCACCUCGAUGUUGGCUUAGAGAUUCUUCUAGGCGCAAGAGCAUAGAAAGAGGGUGUGUUCACCCCUUAAAUC
RNAcentral lists this ribosomal RNA (484 nucleotides) under Nothria otsuchiensis complex sp. W49014. Its description in RNAcentral is "partial 16S ribosomal RNA". It matches the Rfam family "Bacterial large subunit ribosomal RNA", at positions 1829 to 2594 of the family's 2925-position model. The record is from RNAcentral. Lineage: Eukaryota; Metazoa; Annelida; Polychaeta; Eunicida; Onuphidae.